GACGAACGCUGGCGGCGUGCCUAAUACAUGCAAGUAGAGCGCUGAAGGUUGGUACUUGUACCGACUGGAUGAGCAGCGAACGGGUGAGUAACGCGUGGGGAAUCUGCCUUUGAGCGGGGGACAACAUUUGGAAACGAAUGCUAAUACCGCAUAAAAACUUUAAACACAAGUUUUAAGUUUGAAAGAUGCAAUUGCAUCACUCAAAGAUGAUCCCGCGUUGUAUUAGCUAGUUGGUGAGGUAAAGGCUCACCAAGGCGAUGAUACAUAGCCGACCUGAGAGGGUGAUCGGCCACAUUGGGACUGAGACACGGCCCAAACUCCUACGGGAGGCAGCAGUAGGGAAUCUUCGGCAAUGGACGAAAGUCUGACCGAGCAACGCCGCGUGAGUGAAGAAGGUUCUCGGAUCGUAAAACUCUGUUGGUAGAGAAGAACGUUGGUGAGAGUGGAAAGCUCAUCAAGUGACGGUAACUACCCAGAAAGGGACGGCUAACUACGUG
RNAcentral lists this ribosomal RNA (497 nucleotides) under uncultured bacterium. RNAcentral's name for it is "partial 16S ribosomal RNA". It matches the Rfam family "Bacterial small subunit ribosomal RNA", at positions 28 to 507 of the family's 1533-position model. The record is from RNAcentral.